RNAcentral lists this ribosomal RNA (305 nucleotides) under uncultured bacterium. RNAcentral's name for it is "bacterial SSU rRNA". It matches the Rfam family "Bacterial small subunit ribosomal RNA", at positions 333 to 640 of the family's 1533-position model. The record is from RNAcentral.
GCUUACCUACGGGGCGCAGCAGUGGGGAAUAUUGCACAAUGGGGGAAACCCUGAUGCAGCGACGCCGCGUGAGUGAAGAAGUAUCUCGGUACGUAAAGCUCUAUCAGCAGGGAAGAAAAAAAGUCUUUGGCUUUGGACGGUACCUGACUAAGAAGCCCCGGCUAACUACGUGCCAGCAGCCGCGGUAAUACGUAGGGGGCAAGCGUUAUCCGGAUUUACUGGGUGUAAAGGGAGCGUAGACGGCAGAGCAAGUCUGAAGUGAAAGCCCGCGGCCCAACUGCGGGCCUGCUUUGGAAACUGCCCGG